UGUGUGUGUGUGUGUGUGUGUGUGUGUGUGUAUAUAUAUAUACGUACACACACACACUCACAGACACACACA
Molecule: non-coding RNA, 72 nt
Organism: Pelobates cultripes (western spadefoot toad)
Lineage: Eukaryota; Metazoa; Chordata; Amphibia; Anura; Pelobatidae
Source: the annotation of a GenBank genome assembly